This 370-nucleotide unclassified non-coding RNA is filed under the name Candida sp. MK2-2020. RNAcentral describes it as "sequence contains 18S rRNA gene, ITS1, 5.8S rRNA gene, ITS2, 28S rRNA gene". The stretch from base 127 to 279 matches the Rfam family "5.8S ribosomal RNA". Lineage: Eukaryota; Fungi; Ascomycota; Pichiomycetes; Serinales; Debaryomycetaceae. The record is from RNAcentral.
AGGAAGUAAAAGUCGUAACAAGGUUUCCGUAGGUGAACCUGCGGAAGGAUCAUUAAAAAAUCAAGUUUACACCACACAUUUCAUUAGAAAAACAACAAAACAAAAACUUCAAUAGCCAAAACAAAAAACUUUCAACAACGGAUCUCUUGGCUCUCGCACCGAUGAAGAACGCAGCGAAAUGCGAUACGUAGUAUGACUUGCAGCCUUCGUGAAUCAUCGAAUCUUUGAACGCACAUUGCACCCAGUGGCAUUCCACUGGGUAUGCCUGGCUGAGCGUCUUUUCUCCCUCAACACUGUUGGCUGUGGGAACACGUUCCCCAAAGAAAAAAAAGACGAUUCGGGAGCAACAACGCUUCUUCCGAACAAAAGC